RNAcentral lists this long non-coding RNA (1601 nucleotides) under Sorghum bicolor (sorghum). RNAcentral describes it as "long non-coding RNA (SBIC_LNC001364)". The record is from RNAcentral. Lineage: Eukaryota; Viridiplantae; Streptophyta; Magnoliopsida; Poales; Poaceae.
ACGUCAAUUUUCAAAAGAUCAUCAUAGAAGUCUAUACAUAACAAGUACUUACUAAAAGCCAACCAUAAUUUACAUAGUAGUUUACCACCUCCUAACUUUUGCCCCCACAAGGGGCGUCACUAAACUGUCAUCAUUAUGGGAUCAACUGCCGUGAGCCCCUACUCCUCAUGCAUGUUUGCCUCAUGGACAAGCAAGGUUUGGUCCUAAAUCCGAGUCGUGCACUAUGACAUUUACUUGGAGGGUGUUGUUUGGUGCACCAAAAUAAAUUUCUUCAAGGCCUAAACCAAUAAUGGACCCAUGUGUUAUUAGCUAGAACCACAUGCUCCUAGAACGUUAGAGAAACAAGAUUGUUCCCUGCUUAAAUCAAUUGUUGAUGGACCAUGCAUGUCAUGGCAAGAAUAUCCUGGCCAUUGCAAAAAAUCAUAAUGAAGUAAUAACUUCAUAUAGCAAAUACUUUUCUACAAAUGGAUGGUAUGUAUAUGUUGCAAACUAACCUGAUGGUACAUUUAGCACUUCACCUCAAAUAAACUACAUUUUGUCUAAAUUUGUAAUUAACUACAUUUUAUCUAAAUUGGAAACUAAUUUGGCACAUUCAUAGCAUAUCCAACCAUGCACCUAUAGGCUUGGAGAAGAGGAAACUCACCUCAAGGAAGUGGAGGUGGCAAAGACACGUCAGGGGAGGAGGAAGAUGUUGGACGGUGAAUAUCACUUGGGGAGGAGGAAGAGUUGAAGGCCCCGACAACAUGUUCUCUGACAAGAGGAUGCCAUGUCGCUACCAAAACCUAAUAUCCUUGAGGGCCAAAAAUCCUCAAGAAAACCAUGAAAACCACCAAGGAAAUCAAUCCUAGUAGCCAAAGAUAGAGAACAAGGGAAAUUCUUGGAGGCCGACUGCCACGAAUGGUAUGGUUUCCUUUGGGGUUUAGCCACGAAGAAAACAAAGAAACCCCCAAGGAUAUACAUUUUGUUGAGUAUUGAUGACUGCCAAAGAAAUUGUAAGAACCAUUAAGGAUAUAUAUUUUCUUGAGGGCCAAUGGCCCCAAGGACAUAUGCUAAUGACCACAAGGAUAUAUAGAGCAAGCGCAAGGAAAAAACAACUCAAUGGGAGAACAUCACACAAAUUUACACCUGCCACUACACCCUAAAGUAACAUGUGACUAAGUGAAUAAUUCUUUAUUUGUAUUCACUUUAGCAAAUCUUGUAAUUAAUAUUUGAGACCCUAACAUUCAAAUGAAAAAAGUUUGAACUAAAAAAUUUUAGGACAUAUCUCCAUCCAUGGUCAUUUAGAAAAAACAAAAAAAAAUCAACAUUUAAAAUUCUGAGAACUUAAAAUAUAAUUUUUGGACUCUAAAUAUAAAUGCCAUCAACUAUAAAUUUGUAGAUCUCGAGCUCUACAACUCAAAUUUCUACUUUUUGUUGGAUUAAUGUACCAUGAGAAAACCAUAUUUCAUUCCAUGAACAUGCUAGAGGCACAUUUCUGCCUAUAAAAUGUAAUGUCUAACUAGGAAUCCUACAAUGAGUCCAUUAUAUUGGUGGCUAAGAGAAAAGACUAGAAAAUAAACAUUUUUUCCUCAGCGGCUACACCAAUUUCUUCAUGGUUUGCA